This 492-nucleotide ribosomal RNA is filed under the name uncultured bacterium. RNAcentral describes it as "partial 16S ribosomal RNA". It matches the Rfam family "Bacterial small subunit ribosomal RNA", at positions 29 to 507 of the family's 1533-position model. The record is from RNAcentral.
AGUGAACGCUGGCGGUAGGCCUAACACAUGCAAGUCGAACGGCAGCACAGUAAGAGCUUGCUCUUACGGGUGCCGAGUGGCGGACGGGUGAGGAAUACAUCGGAAUCUACUCUUUCGUGGGGGAUAACGUAGGGAAACUUACGCUAAUACCGCAUACGACCUACGGGUGAAAGCAGGGGAUAUUCGGACCUUGUGCGAUUGAAUGAGCCGAUGUCGGAUUAGCUAGUUGGCGGGGUAAAGGCCCACCAAGGCGACGAUCCGUAGCUGGUCUGAGAGGAUGAUCGGCCACACUGGAACUGAGACACGGUCCAGACUCCUACGGGAGGCAGCAGUGGGGAAUAUUGGACAAUGGGCGCAAGCCUGAUCCAGCCAUACCGCGUGGGUUAAGAAGGCCUUCGGGUUGUAAAGCCCUUUUGUUGGGAAAGAAAAGCAGCAGGUUAAUACCCCGCUGUUCUGACGGUACCCAAAGAAUAAGCACCGGCUAACUUCGUG